CAAUAGCGUAUAUUAAAGUUGUUGCGGUUAAAAAGCUCGUAGUUGGAUUUCUGCUGAGAACGACCGGUCCGCCCAUUGGGUGUGUAUCUGGCUCUUUGUUGGCAUCUUCUUGGUGAACGUUACUGCACUUGACUGUGUGGAGCGCUACCCAGGACUUUUACUUUGAGGAAAUUAGAGUGUUUCAAGCAGGCAUACGCCUUGAAUACGUUAGCAUGGAAUAAUAAGAUAGGACCUCGGUUCUAUUUUGUUGGUUUCUAGAGCUGAGGUAAUGAUUAAUAGGGAUAGUUGGGGGCAUUCGUAUUUAACUGUCAGAGGUGAAAUUCUUGGAUUUGUUAAAGACGAACUACUGCGAAAGCAUUUGCCAAGGAUGUUUUCAUUAA
Molecule: ribosomal RNA, 380 nt
Filed under: uncultured eukaryote
Lineage: Eukaryota
Description: partial 18S ribosomal RNA
Rfam family: Eukaryotic small subunit ribosomal RNA
Source: RNAcentral